UGCGAACGUUGCAGCGAGGCCAUCAA
Molecule: non-coding RNA, 26 nt
Filed under: Bombyx mori (domestic silkworm)
Lineage: Eukaryota; Metazoa; Arthropoda; Insecta; Lepidoptera; Bombycidae
Source: RNAcentral